GACGAACGCUGGCGGCGUGCCUAACACAUGCAAGUCGAACGGAAAGGCCCUGCUUUUGCGGGGUGCUCGAGUGGCGAACGGGUGAGUAACACGUGAGUAACCUGCACUUGACUUUGGGAUAUAUUCAGGAAACUGGGGCUAAUACCGGAUAGGAGCUCCUGCUGCAUGGUGGGGGUAGGAAAGGUUCGGCGGUCGGGGAUGGAUGGGUGGGUCAGCAGUUUGUUGGGGGGGUAGUGGCUUACCAAGGCAUCGACGGGUAGACGGCAUGAGAAGGUGACCGGGCACAUUAAGACUAAGGUACGGCGCAGUCGGGAACGGUAGGCAGCGGUGGAAAGUAUGACACAGUGAGCGGGAGCCAGAUGCGAAGGCGCCGCGUGCGGGAUGACGGCUUACUGGUGAUGAACCGCUUUCGCCGGUGACGAAGCGUGAGUGACGGUAAUGAGUAAAGAAGCACCGGCUAACUACGUG
Molecule: ribosomal RNA, 468 nt
Filed under: uncultured bacterium
Lineage: Bacteria
Description: partial 16S ribosomal RNA
Rfam family: Bacterial small subunit ribosomal RNA
Source: RNAcentral